UUACUAAACUGUGUCUGAGAAACAAAUCCAUAGUUAGCCAAAAUAUACCCGGGGAAGAGAGCACCGCUCUGAGCAUCCUCCAUAAAUAGUGGCGAUUUUGGGCGUUAUUUCAAUGCGAGAUGUGAAGCUCUAGGUUUUCAGGAGGCAAGAAGACCUAAUGAGACCAGCCGCCAUGACAGCCACAGGGGCCCUGGGGGAGACGAGGGGUGGAUAAGAGGCUUCCGAGAACCCCAGAGGCUUUACUCACCCGCAUACCCUCGUCCUCCUGGGGUAUUAAGACCAGGAAGGUGCCGUCAUAGAGCGACAAUGCAGCACGGCAAACAUUUUCGGCUAUGAACUGUGAAAUUACGUACCACACGUCCUCGGCUAACGGAGUAAACCAUUAAUCCACAGCACGACCAAUAAAAUUACACCUGAACUCUGCACCAGGCUGAAGGCAUUACCUCCUCCGAAGAGCAAGUCAGGCUGCAAAGCACGGAAUUAAAUAAAAAAACAAGCCUAAUCAGCAUGCCAUGUGUUUACAGGGUCCACGUUUUGAAUUUAUAACAUCCCAUGACAUCAAAACUUCUUAUCAAAACUGUACGAUUUACUUCCACUCUGACAACAGCUGCAGUCUCGAACCAAGUAUUUCUUUAGGUUCGUUUUGUUUUCGAGUCAACAAAUAAUCAUUUUGUGAAGG
This is a long non-coding RNA of Brienomyrus brachyistius, 679 nucleotides long. RefSeq lists it as uncharacterized. The transcript has 3 exons. The record is from RefSeq and is a predicted model, not a curated record. NCBI's taxonomy places the organism in Eukaryota, Metazoa, Chordata, Actinopteri, Osteoglossiformes, Mormyridae.